AUUGAACGCUGGCGGCAGGCCUAACACAUGCAAGUCGAGCGGAGCGGCGGACGGGUGAGUAAUGACUAGGAAUCUGCCUGGUAGUGGGGGAUAACGUACGGAAACGGGAGCUAAUAUAGCCUACUAUCAGAUGAGCCUAGGUCUGAUUAGAUAGUUGGUGGGGUAAAGGGCUACCAAUGCGACGAUCCGUAACUGGUCUGAGAUGAUGAUCAGUCAGCCUGGAACUGAGACAGGGUCCAGACUCCUCAGGGAGGCAGCAGUGGGAAAUAUUGGACAAUGGGCGAAAGCCUGAUCCCGCCAUGCCGCGUGUGUGAAGAAGGUCUUCGGAUUGUAAAGCACUUUAAGUUGGGAGGCGUUACCAACAGAAUAAGCACCGGCUAACUUCGUGCCAGCCGCCGCGGUAAUAC
Molecule: ribosomal RNA, 407 nt
Filed under: uncultured bacterium
Lineage: Bacteria
Description: partial 16S ribosomal RNA
Rfam family: Bacterial small subunit ribosomal RNA
Source: RNAcentral